UGGGGAAUUUUGGACAAUGGGCGAAAGCCUGAUCCAGCAAUGCCGCGUGUGUGAAGAAGGCCUUCGGGUUGUAAAGCACUUUUGUCCGGAAAGAAAUCCUUGGCUCUAAUACAGUCGGGGGAUGACGGUACCGGAAGAAUAAGCACCGGCUAACUACGUGCCAGCAGCCGCGGUAAUACGUAGGGUGCAAGCGUUAAUCGGAAUUACUGGGCGUAAAGCGUGCGCAGGCGGUUUGCUAAGACCGAUGUGAAAUCCCCGGGCUCAACCUGGGAACUGCAUUGGUGACUGGCAGGCUAGAGUAUGGCAGAGGGGGGUAGAAUUCCACGUGUAGCAGUGAAAUGCGUAGAGAUGUGGAGGAAUACCGAUGGCGAAGGCAGCCCCCUGGGCCAAUACUGACGCUCAUGCACGAAAGCGUGGGGAGCAAAACAGGAUUAGAUACCCUGGUAGUCCACGCCCUAAACGAUGUCAACUAGUUGUUGGGGAUUCAUUUCCUUAGUAACGUAGCUAACGCGUGAAGUUGACCGCCUGGGGAGUACGGUCGCAAGAUUAAAACUCAAAGGAAUUGACGGGGUCAUAGCU
Molecule: ribosomal RNA, 579 nt
Filed under: uncultured bacterium
Lineage: Bacteria
Description: partial 16S ribosomal RNA
Rfam family: Bacterial small subunit ribosomal RNA
Source: RNAcentral